RNAcentral lists this signal recognition particle RNA (298 nucleotides) under Saimiri boliviensis boliviensis (Bolivian squirrel monkey). Its description in RNAcentral is "Metazoan signal recognition particle RNA (ENSSBOG00000006383.1)". It matches the Rfam family "Metazoan signal recognition particle RNA". From Rfam's summary of the family: The signal recognition particle (SRP) is a universally conserved ribonucleoprotein. Lineage: Eukaryota; Metazoa; Chordata; Mammalia; Primates; Cebidae. The record is from RNAcentral.
GCUGGGUGCGGUGGCAGGUGCCUGUAGUCCCAGCUACUCAGGAGGCUGAGGCUGGAGGAUCACUUGAGCCCAAGAGUUCUGGGCUGUAGCUCACUAUGCUGAUCAGGUGUCCACACUAAGUUCAGCAUCCAUACAGUGACCUCCCGGGAGCGGAGGACCACCAGGUUGCCUAAGGUGGGAUGAACUGGCCCAGUUUGGAAAUGGAGCAGGUCAAAAUUCCCGUGCUGAUCAGUGGUAGGAUCAUGCCUGUUGAGUAGCCCCUGCACUCCAGCCUGGGCAACAUAGAGAGCCCGUCUCU